Molecule: long non-coding RNA, 780 nt
Organism: Amphimedon queenslandica
Lineage: Eukaryota; Metazoa; Porifera; Demospongiae; Haplosclerida; Niphatidae
Exons: 2
Source: RefSeq, a predicted model, not a curated record
UAUGCAUCUUGUAAUAGUAUACUAUAGAUGAGUAAUAUGCAAUCUUGACAUGUACUUGUGUUAUUAAUAAGUACUUAAAGGUGAAGAAUAUUAAAUGUUGUUUUACCAGCAUGAUAUCUCAUUUUGAUAUCACAAUAAUAACUAAUAAUUCUGUUCAUCAAGUUAGGCUGUUACAAUGAUAAUGAUCCUUUGUAAUGGUUCCUAGCCUAGAAAUCCAACACAGUACAUGUAAUUUAGUCUGGUUUGGUAGAGGUACCAUUUACAUCGCAAGUUGUACUAAGGGUUAUGAUACAUAAUUACAUGUACCAUUCACAUGUAUACUAAGAAAUGAUUAUAUUCUGUUAGCUGCAAUAAUACUAAUGACUAUCAUGAUAGCUACUAAAUACUGAUGUAAUUAUUAAUAAUGCAAUUCUCUAUUCUUGUUGUUGUAUUCCUGGACUACUAUUCUUGUAUAUCUUUGUCUCAUAUUGAUAUUUCUUGCUUUCUUUUGCCUUUCUCUCCACCUAGUACAUGUACAUGUACAUCUAACUUUUGCUCUUUCUCUUUUUGUCCUAUAAAGGAUUCUCCUGUCUCUCAUGUUCUUUGUCUUUUUGUGUUAACACAAGCUUAUAGUAUCAUAUUGUAACAGUUUUGGGUCACAGAUGCAUUGCUUGUCAAGAUUCAAGAUCCCAUGAAAUCCACCUGCUUUUUAUUUUUGGCAAAAGAUGUGGGAACAGAACAAUCCUAACAACAUGAUGGUAAGACACAAUUUACAUUACAGUGCAUGUUUUAUUCAGUGCA